UCACAACGACCCUGUUUAGUUUAGCUCUUGUAGUUGGAUUCCGCUGCUGGAAAGCUGAAUCAUAACCAAAGGGCAAAACUAUCGGCUGGAUUACAUCGAAGCGCAGCCAAAAAUAUGCCUACGAGAGAAAUCAACCACGGAGGUGCUUUCCUGGCUUCAACUGCGUGGCUCUUCUAACAUACCCGUAAAGUUCGGCUGAAAUUACCCACCUUUGCCAUAUAAUCGAUCCACAUGACCAGGCCCGAUUCACCCUGCUCGACAGAACUCACCCUCGUCACCUCCUUCUCUAGUGAUUAGGGUUCCCCACGCCGCCGCCAGGUGCUCGUCGUCCCGGUCGAUGCGCCACCGGCGCCUCCGCCUCCGCCCCCGCCCCCAUCCGCUGUCGUGAUCCCUCGCGCCAUGGAUCUCGCACCCCUCCUCGCGUCGGUCGCCGACCUCCUCAUGUCAUCGAUCUCGCAUCCCCCGUGCUCUUGUUCUCUUAGGCAGGUGAGCCCCAUGAUCCCCGUCGAGCCCUGCCUCCCUUCUCCUCUUUACUGCUGGUCAUGCUCGGCUGCUAUUGGUGGACUGGUGGUCAUGUUCUCUUAUUUGGCAGAAAAAUGUGCAUUAACAAGUGUUUGGUAAUUAUCUUAUUUUCUUGAAACCAUUGUUGUGAAUUUAGAUGGAAAAGGAAAAGGAAAAUUGGGAUGCACAUCACAUAACUGUUUUUUGUGAUAUAUGCAAAGAAGAGGUGGAGAAAGGUAAUAGGCCAAAGGGAUGUUUGAACCGUAGAGGGUACAAACAUGUUGAAGUGAAGUUCUUUGACAGGGUUGGGAAAAGAUGUACUCAAAUUAAGUUCAAAAACAAAUGGGACAUGUUGAAGAGGCAAUAUAUACAGUUCAUGGUAUUGAAAAAUCACGCAACGGGGCUAGGUUGAGAUGAUGUGAAGAAAACUAUCGCAGCCAAAGAUGAUUGGUGGAAUGUUCAUCUUAAGAAAUAUCCUAAGCAUGCAAAGUAUAUAAAAAAGGGGUGGCCAACUUGGAAUCAAUGCAUGUCAUGUUCGCCAAGGCACAUGUCACCGGAGAAACAUCAUCUAUUCCUGGGAAGAUGUCGGACAUAGCAAAUGAUGAUGAUAUGCUUGAUGCUGGAGCGGAGUCCGAGGAUGAUGCAAAGGCGGGAAAGGAGGUUAGAGUUUCACAAAAUGAGUGCAAGUUAGCAAAGGAGGACAAGGUCUCUCCAAAAAACGUGAAGCGCAAAGCCAAGUUCAUGUUCAUUGACGAGUCAGCUAAAGAGGACAAGAACCCAUUUCUACGUGAGUACAUGGCAACAAUUGGGAAUAUAAACUCGGAGAUAGCAUAAACUCAUGCUCCAACAAGUGGUGUUCCUACUAUGAAGGAAGUUCUGACUUUGAUGAAGGAGUGUGGGGCUGAGGAGGGAACUCCUUUAUAUUUCACAGCCACCGACCUUGUCCUCCAACCCAACUAUAGAGAGUUAUUCAUGUUGAUUGAAACAAAAUAGGGGAGGCUUGAUUGUCUCAAUAGGAAACAUGAACAAAUGAACAAAUAGUACUCCACUACCUUGUCCUCCAAACAAACCAUGUUUGAACUAUUUGUAUGAACACGUGUCUUUAUGAUGUAAUGAAACAUAUCUAUGUUAUUGCUGCCACGUUUAUGUGAA
Molecule: long non-coding RNA, 1653 nt
Organism: Hordeum vulgare subsp. vulgare (domesticated barley)
Lineage: Eukaryota; Viridiplantae; Streptophyta; Magnoliopsida; Poales; Poaceae
Exons: 2
Source: RefSeq, a predicted model, not a curated record